UUUUCUGCCACCGAAUACAUUAGCAUGGGAUAAUGGAAUAGGACCCUGUCCUCCUAUUUUCAGUUGGUUUUGGCAGCGCGAGGACUAGGGUAAUGAUUAAUAGGGAUAGUUGGGGGCAUUAAUAUUUAAUUGUCAGAGGUGAAAUUCUUGGAUUUAUGAAAGAUUAACUUCUGCGAAAGCAUCUGCCAAGGAUGUUUUCAUUAAUCAAGAACGAAAGUUAGGGGAUCGAAGACGAUCAGAUACCGUCGUAGUCUUAACCAUAAACGAUGCCGACCAGCGAUUAGGAGACGUUGAAUACAAAACACCACCAUCGGCUGCGGUCGUCCUUGGCGUCUGUCCCUUUCAACGGGGGCCGGCGCGGGGACGGCUUAGCCCGGUGGCACCGGUGAAUGACUCCCCUAGCAGCUUGUGAGAA
Molecule: ribosomal RNA, 415 nt
Filed under: Acanthamoeba castellanii
Lineage: Eukaryota; Discosea; Longamoebia; Acanthamoebidae
Description: SSU rRNA
Rfam family: Eukaryotic small subunit ribosomal RNA
Source: RNAcentral